RNAcentral lists this ribosomal RNA (443 nucleotides) under uncultured bacterium. Its description in RNAcentral is "partial 16S ribosomal RNA". It matches the Rfam family "Bacterial small subunit ribosomal RNA", at positions 338 to 795 of the family's 1533-position model. The record is from RNAcentral.
CCUACGGGAUGCAGCAGUGGGGAAUAUUGGUCACUGGGCGCAAGCCUGACCCAGCAACGCCGCGUGAAGGAAGAAGGCUUUCGGGUUGUAAACUUCUUUUCUCAGGGACGAAUAAAGUGACGGUACCUGAGGAAUAAGCCACGGCUAACUACGGGCCAUCAGCCGGGGUAAUACGUAGUUGGCAAGCGUUAUCCGGAUUUAUUGGGUGUAAAGGGCUUGUAGGCGGGGGCGCAAGUCAGAUGUGAAAACUCAGGGCUCAACCCUGAGCCUGCCUUUGAAACUGUGUUUCUUGAGUGCGGGAGAGGUAAUCGGAAUGCGGGGUGUAGCGGUGAAAUGCGUAGAUAUACGGAGGAACACCAGUGGCGAAGGCGGAUUGCUGGACAGUAACUGACGCUGAGGCGCGAAAGCGUGGGGAGCAAACAGGAUUAGAUACCCUAGUAGUC